UCAAGUCCCUCUUUGAGAAUUCGAGAACGUGUAACAUUAACCGUCCCGAGCAAGCCAGUUUUGCGGUGCAAUUCUGCUUUCCGGACGGAUGUCCUAUCGUCGCAUCCGGCUUGCUUCCUUUGGAGCAAGCAGGAGUGCGGGAAUGAAGACCUCGGCGCGGUUUGCGCCAAGGACGGAUGUUGUUGGAGUGCAUCGCCCACUUUUCGUGGUGCGGUGUAUCCUCCUAACGGUGUGAGAAUAUGCAUGACUCUUGGCAACGGAUAUCUAGGCUCUCGCGUCGAUGAAGAACGUAGCAAAAUGCGAUACUUGGUGUGAAUUGCAGAAUCCCGUGAACCAUCGAGUCUUUGAACGCAAGUUGCGCCUAAGACCGUCAGGUCAAGGGCACGUCUGCUUGGGCGUCGCGCCUUACGUCACUCCAAACCCCUACCACGCGUAAACCGCUACGCUGGUAAGGGUGUGUGUGGAUGUGGAUAGUGACCCUUCGUGCCUCCGGUGCGCGGUGGGUUUGAGUGAUGGUCGUUGCUAGGUUUCGCACGCGGCGAAUGGUGGAUUAUAGAGUAUGCGCCUCCGGUUGUGCACAAGACUCCCAGCCACGACUUACAAGAAGUAAAACCCGUGACGGUGCUUGCACAUUUUGCAAGCUCGGACC
Molecule: unclassified non-coding RNA, 649 nt
Filed under: Allium candolleanum
Lineage: Eukaryota; Viridiplantae; Streptophyta; Magnoliopsida; Asparagales; Amaryllidaceae
Description: sequence contains ITS1, 5.8S rRNA gene and ITS2
Rfam family: 5.8S ribosomal RNA (bases 246-401)
Source: RNAcentral